AAAAUUAGAGUGUUCAAAGCAGGCAGAUUUAUCCAUUCUGCCACCGAAUACAUUAGCAUGGGAUAAUGGAAUAGGACCCUGUCCUCCUAUUUACGUGUUGGUUUUUGAGGACCAGGGUAAUGAUUAAUAGGGAUAGUUGGGGGCAUUAAUAUUUAAUUGUCAGAGGUGAAAUUCUUGGAUUUAUGAAAGAUUAACUUCUGCGAAAGCAUCUGCCAAGGAUGUUUUCAUUAAUCAAGAACGAAAGUUAGGGGAUCGAAGACGAUCAGAUACCGUCGUAGUCUUAACCAUAAACGAUGCCGACCAGCGAUUAGGAGACGUUGAAUACAAAACACCACCAUUAACACGAUCGUUUUUUGCAAAAAUUGCCACAUACGCAAGUGUGUGGUUGUGUUUGAAGGAACGCUAUUGUCUUAAGGCCCGGUGAA
This 425-nucleotide ribosomal RNA is filed under the name Acanthamoeba cf. healyi. RNAcentral's name for it is "SSU rRNA". It matches the Rfam family "Eukaryotic small subunit ribosomal RNA", at positions 762 to 1113 of the family's 1831-position model. Lineage: Eukaryota; Discosea; Longamoebia; Acanthamoebidae. The record is from RNAcentral.